CUUACGUCGUAACUACAACCCCCUUCCCUUUCAUGAAUGUGACCUACCGAAUUAGACUAUUUAGCUGAUUUGUAAUUACAUAAGCAACACGACGGGUGCCACAUGUGGAGCAGGAUCUGCUUACCCUUCCGGAGUACCUGAGAUCACCCCUAGUUUUUUGUGGGGUUAGUGUUGUUUAUUCUUUAGUUUUCUAUGUUGUGUCAUGUGUACUAUUGUUUUUCUG
Molecule: long non-coding RNA, 223 nt
Filed under: Mytilus galloprovincialis (Mediterranean mussel)
Lineage: Eukaryota; Metazoa; Mollusca; Bivalvia; Mytilida; Mytilidae
Source: RNAcentral